CCCCGGCUAACUCCGUGCCAGCAGCCGCGGUAAUACGGAGGGGGUUAGCGUUGUUCGGAAUUACUGGGCGUAAAGCGCGCGUAGGCGGAUUAGAAAGUUGGGGGUGAAAUCCCGGGGCUCAACCUCGGAACUGCCUCCAAAACUGCUAGUCUAGAGUUCGAGAGAGGUGAGUGGAAUUCCGAGUGUAGAGGUGAAAUUCGUAGAUAUUCGGAGGAACACCAGUGGCGAAGGCGGCUCACUGGCUCGAUACUGACGCUGAGGUGCGAAAGUGUGGGGAGCAAACAGGAUUAGAUACCCUGGUAGUCCACACCGUAAACGAUGAAUGCCAGUCGUCGGGUAGUAUACUAUUCGGUGACACACCUAACGGAUUAAGCAUUCCGCCUGGGGAGUACGGUCGCAAGAUUAAAACU
This 410-nucleotide ribosomal RNA is filed under the name uncultured Roseobacter sp. RNAcentral describes it as "bacterial SSU rRNA". It matches the Rfam family "Bacterial small subunit ribosomal RNA", at positions 491 to 901 of the family's 1533-position model. Lineage: Bacteria; Pseudomonadati; Pseudomonadota; Alphaproteobacteria; Rhodobacterales; Roseobacteraceae. The record is from RNAcentral.